Molecule: ribosomal RNA, 253 nt
Filed under: uncultured bacterium
Lineage: Bacteria
Description: partial 16S ribosomal RNA
Rfam family: Bacterial small subunit ribosomal RNA
Source: RNAcentral
UACGAGGGGUCCUAGCGUUGUUCGGAAUUAUUGGGCGUAAAGAGUAUGUAGGCGGCUAUAUAAGUCAGGUGUGAAAGCCCCGGGCUCAACCCGGGAAGUGCAUCUGAUACUGUCUAGCUUGAGUACUGGAGAGGGUAGUGGAAUUCCAGGUGUAGUGGUGAAAUACGUAGAUAUCUGGAGGAACACCGGUGGCGAAGGCGGCUACCUGGCCAUGUACUGACGCUGAGAUACGAAAGCGUGGGGAGCAAACAGG